GCCAGGUGCAGUGGUGCACACCUGUAAUCCCACCAGCUUGGGAGGCUGAGGCAGGAGGAUGGCAAGUUUGAGGCCAACCUCAGCAACUUAGCAGGACUCUGUCUCAA
This 107-nucleotide small RNA is filed under the name Marmota monax (woodchuck). The record is from RNAcentral. Lineage: Eukaryota; Metazoa; Chordata; Mammalia; Rodentia; Sciuridae.